Betta splendens (Siamese fighting fish) is the source of this 2338-nucleotide long non-coding RNA. RefSeq lists it as uncharacterized. The transcript is spliced from 2 exons. NCBI's taxonomy places the organism in Eukaryota, Metazoa, Chordata, Actinopteri, Anabantiformes, Osphronemidae. The record is from RefSeq and is a predicted model, not a curated record.
GGAGACGUCUUCGUGUCACGCUCCAGCUUCAGUCUCUUUGGCCUACUUAGGCGCAAUGUAAGUAGCACACUGAGCUGCUUUUCCUUUUCCCCGUGGGCUCAGGCUGAAUAAUUGAGUGGCGCCGAGGCAGGGUAAUAAGCGACGCGGCCGCUGUAAUAACCUGCCGGACGGCGCAGGAGAGCAGUAAUAGAUGGACGUGGACCGGACGCGUGCUGUGAAGGGAACCAGACGCCACCGUGAGCACGAAACAGCGUGAAACAGAACAAAGUGCUGGACCAGCAUCACCUGGACCCCAUCAGUUCUUAACCCACAGUCCUGAACCCUGAACCCUGGCCCGUCUCAUCGCUCUCAUGGAGGCCUGACCGAUGGCAGCUUGUUGACUCCACUGCUGGUUCACAGUCAAACGAGGAGCAAAGCCACACCUUGUACCUUUCACAGACGCAAACGACGCCUCCUGGUUUCUGAGACACGAGAAAUCAGAUGGGGACCGGAAAAGCCGUUCAUCAAAGAGCUGGAGUUGACAACUGUGGAUCACGCAGUGCGACCUGCAGGUGCGUGUUCCUCUUGUGUUGCCUUUGUUUGAAUGAACGCCAGUGGUUCAUGCACUCAUUUUUGUGAGGAUGCUGCGACGAGAAUCGCUUUACUGGUGUUACUUGCAUCAGUCUGCUGCAUGCAGCCAUAUCCUCUUCACCACCUAUAUCACUGCCCCCCUCCCCCUUCAUCCUCUUCCUCCUCCAUCAUUCUGUCCAUCUCUCCAUUAAGCGUUUUUGACAUUUAUCCACCCGUUGUGUUGACAACCGACAAAAGAGUGUCGCCCAGGAUGUUGCUUGACUUUGGUGGCUCCAGUAACAGCAUCACCCCGUUAUGCAGCUGACCAACUUCUGAUCUCUCUCACACACUGUCUGUGUGAUGGAUGUGCCUCCUCGGACAGAGCUGCUGCGCGUUGCAUCUUAACCUCUGCCUCACCUUCAGGAAAUCAACUCUGUCAAGGAGAGAAUUCCUGGUCAUGAAAUACUCUGCAGUAUGUAAAAACUCAUGAAGACGCCAAGAGUCUUUCCCCGUUUCCCCCUUACACAAACACACACACGCGCACACACACACACACACACACACACACACACACACACACACACACACACACACACACACACACACACACACACACACACACACACACACACACACACGGUCCUACUGGCUGAAUAAAGACCUUUUUGGUGGAGGCUGUCCUUUGUGCUCUGGGCUCAUUAAUGCUCUGAGAGUGUCCCUGUUACUGAGGACUAAGCCCUCGGCUCUUAUCAACAACACCAGGCCUGGUCCACACACACACACACACACACACACACACACACACACACACACACACACACACACACACACACACACACACACACACACACACACACACACAAUGGAUUAUGAAGAGUGUGAAUGAGGCACCAACAUCAGCUCCAAUAUCCCUUACAGGACAAUGAUAGACACCCCCUUUCGCAUCCCACUGCCACAGUCAUGGAUAUUAUGUGUGUGUGUAUGUGUGUGUGUGUGUGUGUGUGUGUGUGUGUGUGUGUGUGUGUGUGUGUAUGUGUGUGUGUGUGUGUGUGUGUGUGUGUGUGUGUGUGUGUGUGUGUGUGUGUGUGUGUGUGUGUGUGUGUGUGUGUGUGUGUGUGUGUGUGUGUGUGUGUGUGUGUGGUGGGUAUUGGUAAGAAGUGAGAUCGACUGUGUUCCAAAUGAUCCGCUUGGAUUUGUCCAUCGGUCUCUGUGUUGCUGUCAUCAAUAUGUCUUUUUUUGUGUGUAUGAGAACGUGUCGGUGUGUUUUGAUGGGCGUGUCAUGUUACUACUGGAUGAGGCCUAAUGUCUGGAUCGGCCGAGUGCACAAUCCACAUGUUGUGAGUCAAUUACCCACAUGUCCGAUGGAGGCAGUGUGUGGUCGGGAGCGUUUGAUGCUGUUGUUACAAAGUAUACAAUCUCUUCUGGAUGACAUUAUAUUGUUUGAAGCUGAAUUCAGUGGGAUUAACUUGAUGUCAGUGUAUAAUAAUGUAACAAUAAUAAGUAGUUUUAGGUGCAAACAACUUUAGGAUUCACCUCAUCUUAGUUGAAGAUUAUUGCUUUAUCUCCAGAGAGAGCAAACCACACUCACUAACACACACUCACAGUUGCCCGUACUUGAAUGUUUUAAUGUUAACUUGAAGGCCUUGGCAUUUCAGAACUUAUAAGUCGCAAAUUUUGUAUAUCAGCUUUUGUAUAUUGUUUGUUUAUGAUUACAAGAAUUGCCUCUUACUGUACUUCUCAUUCAUUUCAUUCCAGAAAUUGCAUUAUUAAAAAGUCAGUUUUCCAGGAA